Chiloscyllium plagiosum (whitespotted bambooshark) is the source of this 233-nucleotide non-coding RNA. NCBI's taxonomy places the organism in Eukaryota, Metazoa, Chordata, Chondrichthyes, Orectolobiformes, Hemiscylliidae. The record is from RefSeq and is a predicted model, not a curated record.
GUCACACUUAGUUUGAAAUAACCAAUGCCAUGGGCGAUAGUUUGGGUUGAUUUUUUUUUUUCAAUUCAUUCAUAGGCUAUUGGCGCCAUUGGCCAGUCAAUCAUUUUUUGGCCAUUGCUGUGGGUCUACAGUUAAAGAAUCCAGGACUUGAGUGCAGAAACUAUACCUUGUACCUAAGAUGAGAUCGCAAGUGGUGACUUGAAUCCGGAACAAACCCACGGUGACACAGGGAG